AUUGAACGCUGGCGGCAUGCCUAACACAUGCAAGUCGAACGGCAGCACGGUCUAGCUUGCUAGACUGGUGGCGAGUGGCGCACGGGUGAGUAACGCGUAGGAAUAUACCUUAAAGAGGGGGACAACUUGGGGAAACGCAAGCUAAUACCGCAUAAUCUCUUAGGAGGAAAGCUGGGGACCGUAAGGCCUGGCGCUUUAAGAAUAGCCUGCGUCCGAUUAGCUAGUUGGUGGGGUAAAGGCCUACCAAGGCGACGAUCGGUAGCUGGUCUGAGAGGAUGGACAGCCACACUGGAACUGAGAGACGGUCCAGACUCCUACGGGAGGCUG
Molecule: ribosomal RNA, 327 nt
Filed under: uncultured Pseudomonadota bacterium
Lineage: Bacteria; Pseudomonadati; Pseudomonadota
Description: bacterial SSU rRNA
Rfam family: Bacterial small subunit ribosomal RNA
Source: RNAcentral